This 253-nucleotide ribosomal RNA is filed under the name uncultured bacterium. RNAcentral describes it as "partial 16S ribosomal RNA". It matches the Rfam family "Bacterial small subunit ribosomal RNA", at positions 524 to 776 of the family's 1533-position model. The record is from RNAcentral.
UACGAAUGGAGCAAGCGUUGUUCGGAAUCACUGGGCUUAAAGCGUGCGCAGGCGGUUUGUAAAGUCAGAAGUGAAAGCCCUGGGCUCAACCCAGGAACUGCUUUUGAAACUCACAAACUAGAAUCCGGGAGAGGUUAGUAGAAUUCCUAGUGUAGAGGUGAAAUUCGCAGAUAUUAGGAGGAAUACCAGUGGCGAAGGCGACUAACUGGACCGGUAUUGACGCUCAGGUAAGAAAGCGUGGGGAGCAAACAGG